Molecule: long non-coding RNA, 269 nt
Organism: Lutra lutra (Eurasian river otter)
Lineage: Eukaryota; Metazoa; Chordata; Mammalia; Carnivora; Mustelidae
Exons: 3
Source: RefSeq, a predicted model, not a curated record
GGGACAGGUGGGCAGCCUGCCCUGAGAGCCCCAGGACGGUGACCCAGAGAAGGGGCUUCUGCUGGAAGACUCUUGAGCCACAGCAGCCACUGGGCCUGCUCACCCAGGAUCAGGCGGCAUUCUGGGUAUCUCCCUGCACAAGUCUUAGACACAACAUCUAUUUGUCAUUGAAAAGACAAGCAACCGUGCUCCCCUGGCAUUCAUAAAAGGCGUCUACUCAUUCAAGCAUUCGCCAACUCAUUCAAUCUGCAUUAUGGGGUCCCUACUGC